AUACUAUGGAGAGGUGUGAUGUAUUAUCAUGUAUACAAUUGUAUUCUGUGUGAUACGAAUUACAACGUGUUUUUCAAAGGAAAAUGCAGUUACAACACAAAUGAAAUCAAAUGCACAAUAAUUAAUUUACUUUCUCAGACAAGCGAAUUCUAAACCACGAGAGUUGAGCGAUGAACGAUAACUUACGAAUGUGCCAAUACUAAAGAGAAGAAAAGCGAACAUAAUAAUUCGGAAGAAAAACACAACCAAAAUAAACAUAUUGAAUAUCGAUCAUUGAAUAUCCAUCCAAAAGACCUACACACAUAUUUAAUGUAUAUUUGUUUCACAGAAGAACAAAUACAACACGAAAGAAAUCAAGUGUGUGCAAUCAUUAAUUCAAUUUCUCAGACGAGCGAAUUCUAAACCACGAGUGUUGCACGAUGAACGAUAACUUACGACAGUGACGAUACCGAAAAGGAAAACAAAAACCGCACAAAAUCGAAAAAAGAAGAAACGCCCCCCAAAAAAAACAAAAACAAAGAGAAAAAGGAGGAUAUCCACAUAGAAAAUAUCCACUGCCCUCGCAAAUAAAAGCCUCCAGGAGCUUAUAAAAGGCCCAAUAGCCUUUUAAAUCAUCCACAUGGAAGAACACGUUGUUUUCACCAUCAUCAAGAUUAUUGUCGCUGGUUUGGACGGUAACCACAGCUCGGCGGCGUGAUGUGUAAUGCGCAUGCGGGCGGGAGGUCGCCUGGCUCUGGCCCUCCUGACUGCCACCACCCUUACGCUCCUGCUGGUGCAACACUGCCGCCUCUCCCAGCACUUGCAGGGUGAGGAUGACGGGCUCGAGCGACACCUGGCGUGGAGGGAGGAGGAGCAGAGAGCACAGACACGGCAACUCCUCCUUCAGAUAGCACAACUCAAGGAGGAAAUAGCCAAACUGCAAGC
RNAcentral lists this long non-coding RNA (924 nucleotides) under Penaeus japonicus. RNAcentral describes it as "uncharacterized LOC122247262". The record is from RNAcentral. Lineage: Eukaryota; Metazoa; Arthropoda; Malacostraca; Decapoda; Penaeidae.